GGCUGGUCCGAGUGCAGUGGUGUUUACAACUAAUUGAUCACAACCAGUUACAGAUUUCUUUGUUCCUUCUUCACUUUGACUGCUUCACUCGGCUAGCCAGAA
This is an unclassified non-coding RNA of Homo sapiens (human), 102 nucleotides long. It matches the Rfam family "Y RNA". Rfam says of the family: Y RNAs are components of the Ro ribonucleoprotein particle (Ro RNP), in association with Ro60 and La proteins. Lineage: Eukaryota; Metazoa; Chordata; Mammalia; Primates; Hominidae. The record is from Ensembl.